Molecule: ribosomal RNA, 498 nt
Filed under: uncultured bacterium
Lineage: Bacteria
Description: partial 16S ribosomal RNA
Rfam family: Bacterial small subunit ribosomal RNA
Source: RNAcentral
GACGAACGCUGGCGGCGUGCCUAAUACAUGCAAGUCGAACGAGAGCAACCGGUGCUUGCACUGGUCAAUCUAGUGGCGAACGGGUGAGUAACACGUGGGUAACCUGCCCAUCAGAGGGGGAUAACAUCCGGAAACGGAUGCUAAAACCGCAUAGGUCUUCGAACCGCAUGGUUUGAAGAGGAAAAGAGGCGCAAGCUUCUGCUGAUGGAUGGACCCGCGGUGCAUUAGCUAGUUGGUGAGGUAACGGCUCACCAAGGCCGUGAUGCAUAGCCGACCUGAGAGGGUGAUCGGCCACAUUGGGACUGAGACACGGCCCAAACUCCUACGGGAGGCAGCAGUAGGGAAUCUUCCGCAAUGGACGCAAGUCUGACGGAGCAACGCCGCGUGAGUGAAGAAGGUUUUCGGAUCGUAAAACUCUGUUGUUAGAGAAGAACAAGUGCUAGAGUAACUGUUAGCGCCUUGACGGUAUCUAACCAGAAAGCCACGGCUAACCACGUG